AGUGAACGCUGGCGGUAGGCCUAACACAUGCAAGUCGAACGGCAGCACAGUAAGAGCUUGCUCUUACGGGUGGCGAGUGGCGGACGGGUGAGGAAUACAUCGGAAUCUACUUUUUCGUGGGGGAUAACGUAAGGAAACUUACGCUAAUACCGCAUACGACCUACGGGUGAAAGCAGGGGAUCUUCGGACCUUGCGCGAUUGAAUGAGCCGAUGUCGGAUUAGCUAGUUGGCGGGGUAAAGGCCCACCAAGGCGACGAUCCGUAGCUGGUCUGAGAGGAUGAUCAGCCGCUCUGGAACUGAGACACGGUCCAGACUCCUACGGGAGGCAGCAGUGGGGAAUAUUGGACAAUGGGCGCAAGCCUGAUCCAGCCAUACCGCGUGGGUGAAGAAGGCCUUCGGGUUGUAAAGCCCUUUUGUUGGGAAAGAAAAGCAGCAGGUUAAUACCCCGCUGUUCUGACGGUACCCAAAGAAUAAGCACCGGCUAACUUCGUG
This 492-nucleotide ribosomal RNA is filed under the name uncultured bacterium. Its description in RNAcentral is "partial 16S ribosomal RNA". It matches the Rfam family "Bacterial small subunit ribosomal RNA", at positions 29 to 507 of the family's 1533-position model. The record is from RNAcentral.